RNAcentral lists this non-coding RNA (27 nucleotides) under Mus musculus (house mouse). The record is from RNAcentral. Lineage: Eukaryota; Metazoa; Chordata; Mammalia; Rodentia; Muridae.
UAGGACCUUGUUCAGGAAAUACCUGGC